UGGGGAAUAUUGGACAAUGGGCGCAAGCCUGAUCCAGCAAUGCCGCGUGUGUGAAGAAGGCCUUCGGGUUGUAAAAGCACUUUUAUCAGGAGCGAAACGCUGUCGCUAAUACCCGGCGGAACUGACGGUACCUGAGGAAUAAGCACCGGCUAACUUCGUGCCAGCAGCCGCGGUAAUACGAAGGGUGCAAGCGUUAAUCGGAAUUACUGGGCGUAAAGCGUGCGUAGGCGUUUCUUAAGUCUGCUGUGAAAUCCCCGGGCUCAACCUGGGAAUGGCAGUGGAUACUGGGAGGCUAGAGUGUGUCAGAGGGUGGUGGAAUUCCCGGUGUAGCGGUGAAAUGCGUAGAGAUCGGGAGGAACAUCAGUGGCGAAGGCGGCCACCUGGGACAACACUGACGCUGAGGCACGAAAGCGUGGGGGAGCAAACAGGAUUAGAUACCCUGGUAGUCCACGCCCUAAACGAUGCGAACUGGAUGUUGGUCUCAACUCGGAGAUCAGUGUCGAAGCUAACGCGUUAAGUUCGCCGCCU
RNAcentral lists this ribosomal RNA (528 nucleotides) under uncultured bacterium. RNAcentral's name for it is "partial 16S ribosomal RNA". It matches the Rfam family "Bacterial small subunit ribosomal RNA", at positions 355 to 874 of the family's 1533-position model. The record is from RNAcentral.